RNAcentral lists this ribosomal RNA (341 nucleotides) under uncultured bacterium. RNAcentral's name for it is "bacterial SSU rRNA". It matches the Rfam family "Bacterial small subunit ribosomal RNA", at positions 917 to 1264 of the family's 1533-position model. The record is from RNAcentral.
GGGCCCGCACAAGCGGUGGAGCAUGUGGUUUAAUUCGAUGCAACGCGAAGAACCUUACCAGGACUUGACAUACUACGAAUUCUUCUGAGAAGAAGAAGUGCCUUCGGGAACGUAGGUACAGGUGGUGCAUGGCUGUCGUCAGCUCGUGUCGUGAGAUGUUGGUUAAGUCCCGCAACGAGCGCAACCCUUAUUUUUAGUUACUAACUCGUUAGGUUCUCUAGAAAGACUGCCGGUGACAAACCGGAGGAAGGUGAGGAUGACGUCAAGUCAGCAUGCCCCUUAUGUCCUGGCUACACACGUGCUACAAUGGUUAAGACAAAGAGUCGCGAGCUCGCGAGAGU